UUGGCGUGUAGCAUUGUGGUAAUGCAACUGAUUACGUGUGAGAUAAGAUGCGGGUUCGAAUCCUGUCACGCCAAU
RNAcentral lists this transfer RNA (75 nucleotides) under Enterococcus faecalis. Its description in RNAcentral is "tRNA-Arg". It matches the Rfam family "tRNA". From Rfam's summary of the family: Transfer RNA (tRNA) molecules are approximately 80 nucleotides in length. Their secondary structure includes four short double-helical elements and three loops (D, anti-codon, and T loops). Lineage: Bacteria; Bacillati; Bacillota; Bacilli; Lactobacillales; Enterococcaceae. The record is from RNAcentral.